AUAUAUAUAGAGCAGGGCUGCUAUGCUCUCAUGAGCACGGAGGCCUCCGUGCUCCUGAGUCGUUUUCGAUGAUGGAGUUUUCGAAUCGACGAUCGACUCCGUUAAACUUGAUCUAGCGUAUUUAGAGUUUCUAGAAAAUAAUUUUUGCGACUUUUUAAUAUCAUUUACCUAGCAAUCGAAAGGAUUCAAAAUCAAUAAUUUUUAACCGCUGAAAAUAAAAAUCCUAUAAAAAGUGGUGAUAUAGCACUAAAAUUUUCGAUCAGAAAUAUUAAUCUUGUUGUAGAUAGUAUAAAGAAUUUUGUAUCAAAAUUUCAUCUGAUUUGCAUACUUCUACACCGUUAAACUUGAAAACGGCAGAUAUUAGCCAUUAAAAAUUAUGAAUUUUGAAUCCUUUCGAUCACUAGGUAAAUAAUAUCCAAAAAUCACAAAAAUUAUUUUCUAGAAACUUUAAAUGCGCUAGAUCAAGUUUAACGGAGCCGAUCGUCGAUUCGAAAAUUCUAUCAUUGAAAACGGCUCAGGAGCACGGAGGCCUCCGUGCUCCUGAGAGCACAGCAACCCUACUAUAUAUAUAUAUAUAUAUAUAUAUAAGAGUGAGCUAGUAUGCUUCUCGAUGCACGGAGCCUUUCGUGCUUCCAAAUCGUUUUCGAUGUUGGGACUUUUGAAUCGACGAUUGGUUCCAUUAAACUUGAUUUAGAGUAUCUGAAGUACCUAGAAAAUAAAUUUUGUGAUUUUUCGAUAUUAUUUGCCUAGUGAUCGAAGGGGCUCAAAAUUAAUAAUUUUAAUGACCGUGGUGAGCCGUUUGCAAGUUUAACGGUGUAGAAAUAUUCAAAUCACGUAAACUUUUAAUAUAAAAUUCUUUAUACUAUAUAAAACAAGAUCAAUUUUUUUGAUCUAAAAUUUUAAUGUCAUAUCAUCAUAUUUUGUAAGAUUUUUAUUUUUAGCCGUUGAUUUUGAGCCACUUCGAUCACUAGGCAAAUGAUAUCAAAAAGUAAUAAAAUUUAUUUUCUAGAUACUUAAAAUACUCUAGAUCAAAUUUAACGGAGCUGAUCGUCGAUUCGAAAGUCCCAACAUCGAAAAUAAUUUGAAAGCAUGGCGCGCUCCGUGCUUCAAGAAGCAUACCAGCCGCACUCAUAUGUAUAAUAUAGAGUUCGACUAUUAUACUAUUAUGAGUAUAGAUUUCUUUAUACUUUACUUCAUUGAUUAUUUUCAUCUGUUAAAUCAUACCAUUCAAUCAACCAUCCACUCAACUUUAGGAAUCACUAUUAUACUAAAUC
This 1274-nucleotide long non-coding RNA is filed under the name Ananas comosus (pineapple). Its description in RNAcentral is "long non-coding RNA (ACOM_LNC019162)". Lineage: Eukaryota; Viridiplantae; Streptophyta; Magnoliopsida; Poales; Bromeliaceae. The record is from RNAcentral.